Molecule: ribosomal RNA, 459 nt
Filed under: uncultured bacterium
Lineage: Bacteria
Description: partial 16S ribosomal RNA
Rfam family: Bacterial small subunit ribosomal RNA
Source: RNAcentral
CCUACGGGUGACAGCAGUGAGGAAUAUUGGUCAAUGGGAGAGAUCCUGAACCAGCCAAGCCGCGUGAGUGAAGACGGCACUAUGGGUUGUAAACCUCUUUUGUCGGAGAACAAAACCCGGGACGUGUCCCGGACUGCGUGUAUCCGAAGACAAAGCAUCGGCUAACUCCGUGCCAGCAGCCGCGGUAAUACGGAGGAUGCGAGCGUUAUCCGGAUUUAUGGGGGUUAAAGGGUGCGUAGGCGGUCCGUUAAGUCAGCGGUAAAAUGGCGGGGCUAAACCCCGUCGAGCCGUUGAAACUGGGAGACUUGAGUGGGCGAGAAGUACGCGGAAUGCGCGGUGUAGCGGUGAAAUGCAUAGAUAUCGCGCAGAACUCCGAUUGCGAAGGCAGCGUACCGGCGCCAGACUGACGCUGAGGCACGAAAGCGUGGGGAUCGAACAGGAUUAGAUACCCUUGUAGUC